GCUGGAGAGGGGGUAACUGGCAGCUCAGAAAGAGCGGUCCAGAGGAAGGUUCUGGGGUGAGUCAAAAGAACGUAAUUAUUUGAGCUGUGGACUGAAAAUUGUGCCAAGAGGGGGAAAAAAAUGCUUGGAUCAGUCAGGUGCCUGAGGGGCACAAAGAGAGGGAGCUGGAGACACCCCACACCUGAGCCCAAACUAAGAACCCCAAUUAGCACGAAGUAGGCAUAGAAACCAGGUCUCCUCACUCCGAGGUCAAUGCUCUCUCUUCAGAGGCCGUUUUGUUUUGUCUCCUGUCGGGCUCUGUGGAGUUGCAUUCACAUUCGUUUACCCCAGUACGUUAUAUUCAAGACACUGAGAGCCAAGACCUAGAGGUCUUUAGGCCCAGGAACCCAAGGCACACAUUUUAGUGACAGACGACUGACUGAGCGUUGUUCUUCCUGUCUCCGUGUUUCUGAGGAAAUGCUGGACCAGAGGAUGGCAGCUCGAUACGGCUUGGAGGCAAAGAAGACACACGGCUGCUCUCCCCCAUGUGAUGCUGCUAACACAGCUUCAGAAAGCUCAUGUGACCAGUGCACGGAGACUACAUUAUCGUCUGCAGGAGGAGACAUGACGUAUCCUUCGCACCAAGAUCUUUCCUUUAACUGAGCCCUGCAGUGGGUUGCACGCACCCCAGAGAGGCACCUCCUCGGCUUCUUCUCUUCAGUGCUGAGGAUUGAAACUGUGGCCUUGCACAUAGUAGGCAAGUAAGUGUUCUACCACGGAACUAUGUUCUCAGUCCCCGUCUCAAAUCUAGCUACAUCGCUUCUGUGCGUCUGACAGAACGAAUUCCAACAGCAGAGGAAGGCGAGAGUCCUUCGACACCAGAAGGAGGCCCUGGGGGUGGAGAAUGUCCACCUGCACCCUUAUUGUCAUCGGUGCCCUUCUCCAACAUUCCUCGGUAGCUCCCAGUCUUCUCAUUUGUCUGCAUCAUGUGACCAUUACUUUCCUCCAUUUUUCUAGAUGACCUUCUAGAUGACCUACGGCCUUCUCCGUCUCCUUCUGCUCUAGAGGCUGCAUUCUCUCUCCACUUUAUUUCUUCCAGACACCCUCACCCAAUGAGCCUUACUGACCCUUUAAGCCAGAGACCUGUAUGUGUUUCUUUAGAGUUUCCUUUGUUGAUGAACUGACCCAGACUGAACGUUCCAUAUCUGGUUUAGGUCCAGGUAGGACUAUAGGACCUCCGGGGGACUUUAGUACUAGGGAACUAUGGGUGCUGUUAGGUUGCACACAGAGACAUUGAGGUAACUCAAGGAUCAGCAGGAUAGAGUUGCCAGUCCUAGAACCAGGAGACAAAGGGACAUGGGGACGUUUCCAGAAAAGGGAAAUCAUAGCAUCUGCUGGUACAUCUGAAGAAGCCCUGCAGGGUUGGGGUUGGGGAUUGGGGUGGGAGCCACAUGUUGCUAUGGAGAGCAGGUACUCAGCCAUCUAAGAAGGGACACACUCAGGUGCCGUGAGGUUGGCAAGAACAAGAAAAAACAAAAAAGUGGCCCUCUCUCCCCCUGCAUUCCUCGUGUCUCCUCUUCGCAGACCCCAACAAAGAGACAGCUAUUGUCUCGAAAUGGGGUUUGGUCCAGAGUCAAGAGCAGGACAGAUGUGCUGUCCUCUACAGCUCAUACCGCUGAUGCAGAAUGCCAACCACAGCCAGGACUGAACUGUUGUCAUUAUUUAACAUUCAUCCACCACCACCAGGCGUGGCCAAGCUGCAGGUUCCAUGUGUCCCAGAUGUACGAAUGUGGCCCAGCACAUGUGAAGAUGACAAUGCCGUAUGGGGACAUCGAAUUUGAUCACCACCAACUACGUGGAAAGCUACACUGACUGUAUGGAAAAGCUGCAUUGACUUGCCUUCCUGCUGUCUUCACGCAUAACAAACAUCUGGAGUUUAGGGAGUCCUCAAUAGCCAUCCACUAGAAUAGAUUGACAAGAGAAGCAAUAUUAUUUUAUGUAUAGAGGGGCAGAUGUCUGUGGGAAACUGAAGUGGGUGCCGCUUCGCUGGGAGCUGGAGUUACAAGCAAUUGUGGGCCACCAGGUGUGACCACUGGGAUAUUGAGAUAAAAGCUGGGUGUGGCACAUCUGUGAUCCUAGCACUAGGCAGCCCAGUGACAGGAGGAUUCCCAGGGCAUGCUGGCUAGCCAGUCUAGGCAAAAUAGCAAGCUGCAGGCUCCAAGAGAGAACCUGUCUCAAAAAAUAAGGAGUGAUAGGAAAACAAAAUCCUUAUAUUAGCACAGAGAGAGAGAGAGAGACAGAGACAGAGACAGAGACAGAGGCAGAAAGAGACACACAGAGAGAGCAUACAGUACCAGCAAGGGAUGAGCUAAGGACAGAGAAUGUCAGUCAAAGCCUUGCCUCAGCCUGGUCCUACAGGGCCCUGGACCAUGAACUAUCCCCUAGGCCUGCUACCUCCCUGGGGGCCUUUAUGAGACACCAGCUGUAGUGGAGGCCUGUCAGGACUCAAGGAAUUCAUGCAACCUCCCAAGAGAGAUGGUUCCCAAAGAAGAGACAGCUGUGGGAAUCAGCUGUCAACACUCACAGCACGAGAUAUGGCACACCCACCUGCUCAGAGGGUUCGGGUGGGGCAAAACACACCCUCACUUCGAGGGGAGCUGUGCCAGACGUUCCCAGGUCUUUCUAGGGUGUUAGGUUUCUGUUCGAGAUGGAGUGGAUGCCUUUCAUCUUGUGGGGAUUUUUAUCAGACAUGACAGGAGCUAAAAUGUUAAUUGCCCACAUCCCUGGGUAGCCUGGGCCUUGGCAUGUCUUCUGGAGUCAGGAGCAACCACAGGCAUGGCCUCUGCACCCCAGGGGCCCCUGAAUGGCAGAUUCCAUCCCCAUAUGCUGUCCUCUGUGGAAGAAAGACAGGCCCCUCACUCCUUCCCUAGCCGCCCUGCAGGUGCCCACUCAGUGGUGGCCUGGCAGCCUGCACCAAAGAAUGUCACCCUGGCCUGAGGCCCAGCCUUAGACAAAAGCCCUUUUGGAGCUAAGCCUACAUCCUCUGGCUGACAGGGCCCCUCCCCCAUCACCAACCAGGGAGGGCAGCUAAAUUCAUCUCCCUCCAACUGAUGCUUCCCACUGGGCAAGGCCACCUCCCUACUCAGGAAGCAAAAGGCAUCUGAACCCUUGCUGGCUGCCCUUGGCUCUCAGACAAAUAGCUGACUGUCCUCACCCAGAACUGCAAAGGAUGAUCCGACACCAUCGCCCCAGAUCAGGGCACGGGGACACACACACACACACACACACACACACACACACACACACACAAAGAGGAGAACACUAUC
This is a long non-coding RNA of Mesocricetus auratus (golden hamster), 3305 nucleotides long. RefSeq lists it as uncharacterized. The record is from RefSeq and is a predicted model, not a curated record. NCBI's taxonomy places the organism in Eukaryota, Metazoa, Chordata, Mammalia, Rodentia, Cricetidae. The transcript has 3 exons.